Molecule: ribosomal RNA, 325 nt
Filed under: Klebsiella pneumoniae
Lineage: Bacteria; Pseudomonadati; Pseudomonadota; Gammaproteobacteria; Enterobacterales; Enterobacteriaceae
Description: partial 23S ribosomal RNA
Rfam family: Bacterial large subunit ribosomal RNA
Source: RNAcentral
GUCGUGAGACAGUUCGGUCCCUAUCUGCCGUGGGCGCUGGAGAAUUGAGGGGGGCUGCUCCUAGUACGAGAGGACCGGAGUGGACGCAUCACUGGUGUUCGGGUUGUCAUGCCAAUGGCACUGCCCGGUAGCUAAAUGCGGAAGAGAUAAGUGCUGAAAGCAUCUAAGCACGAAACUUGCCCCGAGAUGAGUUCUCCCUGAGACUUUAAGUCUCCUGAAGGAACGUUAAAGACGAUGACGUUGAUAGGCCGGGUGUGUAAGCGCAGCGAUGCGUUGAGCUAACCGGUACUAAUGAACCGUGAGGCUUAACCUUACAACGCCGAAG